CUUUACACAUGCAAGUCGAGCGGCAGCGCGGGGCAACCUGGCGGCGAGCGGCGAACGGGUGAGUAAUACAUCGGAACGUACCCUGAAGUGGGGGAUAACCCGGCGAAAGCCGGACUAACAGACGCAUAUGCUCUGAGGAGGAAAGUGGGGGACCCGCAAGGGCCUCACGCUUUAGGAGCGGCCGAUGUCCGAUUAGCUAGUUGGUGAGGUAAAGGCUUACCAAGGCGACGAUCGGUAGCUGGUCUGAGAGGAUGAUCAGCCACACUGGGACUGAGACACGGCCCAGACUCCUACGGGAGGCAGCAGUGGGGAAUUUUGGACAAUGGGGGCAACCCUGAUCCAGCCAUGCCGCGUGCGGGAAGAAGGCCUUCGGGUUGUAAACCGCUUUUAUCCGGAAAGAAAAGGCGUGGGUGAAUAGCCUGCGUUCUUGACGGUACUGGAGGAAUAAGCACCGGCUAACUACGUGCCAGCAGCCGCGGUAACAGAGUAGGGUGCGAGCGUUAAUCGGAAUUACUGGGCGUAAAGCGUGCGCAGGCGGUUCGUUGUGUCUGCUGUGAAAGCCCCGGGCUCAACCUGGGAAUGGCAGUGGAAACUGGCGAGCUGGAGUGUGGCAGAGGGGGGUGGAAUUCCACGUGUAGCAGUGAAAUGCGUAGAGAUGUGGAGGAACACCGAUGGCGAAGGCAGCCCCCUGGGCUGACACUGACGCUCAGGCACGAAAGCGUGGGGAGCAAACAGGAUUAGACA
RNAcentral lists this ribosomal RNA (744 nucleotides) under uncultured bacterium. Its description in RNAcentral is "bacterial SSU rRNA". It matches the Rfam family "Bacterial small subunit ribosomal RNA", at positions 47 to 784 of the family's 1533-position model. The record is from RNAcentral.